UCGAAUCCAGAGCAACGCGCUAAUGUAUG
Molecule: small RNA, 29 nt
Filed under: Bombyx mori (domestic silkworm)
Lineage: Eukaryota; Metazoa; Arthropoda; Insecta; Lepidoptera; Bombycidae
Description: ovarian small RNA-7473
Source: RNAcentral